RNAcentral lists this non-coding RNA (26 nucleotides) under Rattus norvegicus (Norway rat). Lineage: Eukaryota; Metazoa; Chordata; Mammalia; Rodentia; Muridae. The record is from RNAcentral.
UCUCUUAGGAUAGAACCAGCAAGAUU